RNAcentral lists this ribosomal RNA (253 nucleotides) under uncultured bacterium. RNAcentral describes it as "partial 16S ribosomal RNA". It matches the Rfam family "Bacterial small subunit ribosomal RNA", at positions 524 to 776 of the family's 1533-position model. The record is from RNAcentral.
UACAGAGGUCUCAAGCGUUGUUCGGAUUCAUUGGGCGUAAAGGGUGUGUAGGUGGCGCGCUAAGUCGGGUGUGAAAUUUCGGAGCUUAACUCCGAAACUGCAUUCGAUACUGGCGUGCUUGAGGACUGGAGAGGAGACUGGAAUUCAUGGUGUAGCAGUGAAAUGCGUAGAGAUCGGGAGGAACACCAGUGGCGAAGGCGGCACCCUGGACCAGCACUGACACUGAGGCACGAAAGCGUGGGGAGCAAACAGG